GAUGAAGACGCAGCGAAAUGCGAUAAGUAAUGUGAAUUGCAGAAUUCAGUGAAUCAUCGAAUCUUUGAACGCACAUUGCGCCCGCCAGUAUUCUGGCGGGCAUGCCUGUUCGAGCGUCAUUACAACCCUCAGGCCCCCGGGCCUGGCGUUGGGGAUCGGCGGAGCCCCCCGUGGGCACACGCCGUCCCCCAAAUACAGUGGCGGUCCCGCCGCAGCUUCCAUCGCGUAGUAGCUAACACCUCGCGACUGGAGAGCGGCGCGGCCACGCCGUAAAACACCCAACUCUUCUGAAGUUGACCUCGAAUCAGGUAGGAAUACCCGCUGAACUUAAGCAUAUCAAUAAGCGGAGGA
This 351-nucleotide unclassified non-coding RNA is filed under the name soil metagenome. Its description in RNAcentral is "partial contains 5.8S ribosomal RNA, internal transcribed spacer 2, and large subunit ribosomal RNA". The stretch from base 1 to 119 matches the Rfam family "5.8S ribosomal RNA", at positions 35 to 154 of the family's 154-position model. The record is from RNAcentral.